This is a long non-coding RNA of Cucumis sativus (cucumber), 889 nucleotides long. RefSeq lists it as uncharacterized. The transcript has 2 exons. Lineage: Eukaryota; Viridiplantae; Streptophyta; Magnoliopsida; Cucurbitales; Cucurbitaceae. The record is from RefSeq and is a predicted model, not a curated record.
GAUUGGAUUGGAUAAAGGAAUGAGAAAGUCAGAGAGAAAGAAGAAAAUACUUAAGUAUUGAAUUGAAUUUUUGAGGUUAUUGUUUAGUAUUGAAAUAUUAGGAAAAGUAAGGCGUAAUUUACGUGGAAAAAAAAGAAGGGGGAGAAACUUUGGAUGCCAAAAUAAGAGGCGGAAAUACAGAAUUGAAUAUAGGAUCUCAGGAAUUUGUCUGUAUUUGUAAAAUGAGAAGAGUCACGGGUGUUUUUAUUUUUUCAGGAUGACUUUGCUUUGGUUUGCUCAGCUCAGCUCACAUGAGUUUCUCUUUUGCUACCAACAAUACAAAAGGUGACCUGCCAAGCUUACGUGCAACUAUGGUCACAAUUUCACAGACAAAAACACAAGAGUAUUAUUUGCUUCAAAUGGUACAUGCUUGGAUCCUCCAAUAAGGUUGUGCUUUGUGUUUUUGUUAAAGAGAAAAAACCAACUGCUGGCUUUUUGUUGUUGGUAUUGUUGAAAACACAAUGCCAAAUUGUUGGUUUAUAAGAUUAGUUGUUUUCUGUACAAGUUGGUUAAAAUAUUUAGGGGAUAUCAUCACUUGGUUGUUGGCUCAAAUUGACAUUGAAAACCGACUUGUUUGUUCCAUCGGUUGGAGAUUGUUAACCUUGGUUGAAAUCAACGAGAACUCCAACGAAGUUAGAAAAACACCAAGAAAGAGGUGAAGAGGGUAUGUUUAACAUAUACUAAUUGAGUUGUUCGCGAAUCAUGUGGUUGGAAAAGUGUAUUUCAACCUCAUUGAUUGAACCAUUGACUACAUGGACAAAUUUUCUUCCUUGUAUAACUCUUUUAAAGGUAAUAAUUAAGUGUAUAACAACAUUUAUGAAUGAUUGCAAAUAUAGAAAAUUUCUAUAUA